This 21-nucleotide microRNA is filed under the name Prunus persica (peach). RNAcentral's name for it is "microRNA miRNA_125". The record is from RNAcentral. Lineage: Eukaryota; Viridiplantae; Streptophyta; Magnoliopsida; Rosales; Rosaceae.
CCACUGUGGCUGUAUUCCAAG